GUAGUACUCCCUCCGUCCGGAAAUACUUGUCGGAGAAAUGAAUGUAUCUAGAUGUAUUUUAGUUCUAGAUACAUCUAUUUUUAUCAUUUUUUACAUUCAUUUCUCCGACAAGUAUUUCCGGACGGAGGGAGUACUAU
Molecule: non-coding RNA, 137 nt
Organism: Triticum aestivum (bread wheat)
Lineage: Eukaryota; Viridiplantae; Streptophyta; Magnoliopsida; Poales; Poaceae
Source: Rfam